ACCUAAUUUCUUUUUUUAUAUACAACAUGUCAUCGUCUUCAUCAUCUUCCACAAAUCGUCUUCAUCCCUCCAUUCACAAUCGGGCCAGCCUUCCCUCCCUGAUACUUCCGAUCAUUGUGGCCAUUCUCUGCUUCCAAUCAGUCGCUGGUCCCAAUCAUUGCUUCCCCAGUUGUCGUGCAAACACACACACAUAUCAUUGCGUCUAAGUGCAUGAUCUUGACAAUGUCGAAUUCUGAAAAGAUAUCAAGUAUGUUUAUGUAGAUGAUUCAAUGGAUGAUAUUGGUGAGAUUCUAAUUCUAUUCGAAUGGAAUCAUGAAUUCCAAUUCUGUUGGAAUGGAAUGACGAAUUCCAAUUCUGUUGGAAUCACAGAAGUUGAUGCUUGAAGAACAGACCACAAAAUUGAAACGGACCACAUUAUUCUUUUAGAAUGUAUUAGUUAUUGUUAGAUUUUAAUGUUUUCUUUCACGUUUUGAUUGUUUUUUAGUUUUAUUCUUUAACAAUAAAUGUAAUUCUUAACAAUUGUUACCCGUAUUCUAUAAGAAAAUAAUAUAUUUUUUGUUUUUAUUCUUCAA
Long non-coding RNA from Lactuca sativa (garden lettuce), 572 nucleotides. RefSeq lists it as uncharacterized. Lineage: Eukaryota; Viridiplantae; Streptophyta; Magnoliopsida; Asterales; Asteraceae. The record is from RefSeq and is a predicted model, not a curated record.